RNAcentral lists this ribosomal RNA (80 nucleotides) under Clostridia bacterium. RNAcentral describes it as "partial 23S ribosomal RNA". It matches the Rfam family "Bacterial large subunit ribosomal RNA", at positions 2848 to 2925 of the family's 2925-position model. Lineage: Bacteria; Bacillati; Bacillota; Clostridia. The record is from RNAcentral.
CGAGGUAGAUAGGUUGGAGGUGUAAGCACGGCAACGUGUUCAGCUGACCAAUACUAAUAGACCGAGGGCUUGACCAAUAA